This 703-nucleotide ribosomal RNA is filed under the name Ozestheria cf. packardi P MS-2015. RNAcentral describes it as "eukaryotic LSU rRNA". It matches the Rfam family "Eukaryotic large subunit ribosomal RNA", at positions 132 to 697 of the family's 3401-position model. The record is from RNAcentral. Lineage: Eukaryota; Metazoa; Arthropoda; Branchiopoda; Diplostraca; Cyzicidae.
GGUGUCGCGGAAUGUGGUGUUUAGGAGGACCGUGCGCGUCUGUCCGGCAUCGUCCAAGUCUCCAUGAAUGGGGCCAGCAACCCAGAGAGGGUGUCAGGCCCGUAGGACUGAGCCGCGACGGCGUAUUGGGUCUCUCCUUAGAGUCGGGUUGCUUGAGAGUGCAGCCCUAAGUGGGAGGUAAACUCCUUCUAAGGCUAAAUACGGCCACGAGACCGAUAGCGAACAAGUACCGCGAGGGAAAGUUGAAAAGAACUUUGAAGAGAGAGUUCAAUAGUGCGUGAAACCGUUCAGGGGGUUAAACGGGUGGGCCCUCGAAGGUCGAACGCUCCCUACUCGCGUCUCCGCUCGUCGGUCCGUGCCGCUUUUCCGAUCUCGCUACGGGACGGAGCGGUGCGGUAACUGGUGCGAGCGGGGGCGUUUAGUUAGGGGGCCAGUAGGACUCCGCAACCGUCUGGAGCAGUCGUCAGAAGGGCCCUGGUAGAAAGCCUCCUCGCGGGGUGGACUCUGGGGUUCCGGGCGAUCUCUCCGGCCGUGAACCGGCAUUCCACUCGGCUGGCGUCCGUGACGAGCUUCCCCUUUUCACGGGGGGGGAGUUGUCGGUUGCGGGCGUCACUGGGGGACGCUAGCGGAGAGUAGAGUCGGGUCCCACCCGACCCGUCUUGAAACACGGACCAAGGAGUCUAACAUGUGCGCGAGUCGUCGG